This 253-nucleotide ribosomal RNA is filed under the name uncultured bacterium. Its description in RNAcentral is "partial 16S ribosomal RNA". It matches the Rfam family "Bacterial small subunit ribosomal RNA", at positions 524 to 776 of the family's 1533-position model. The record is from RNAcentral.
UACGUAGGGUGCAAGCGUUGUCCGGAAUUAUUGGGCGUAAAGAGCUCGUAGGCGGUCUGUCGCGUCGGAUGUGAAAACCCAGGGCUCAGCCCUGGGCCUGCAUUCGAUACGGGCAGACUAGAGUUCGGUAGGGGAGACUGGAAUUCCUGGUGUAGCGGUGAAAUGCGCAGAUAUCAGGAGGAACACCGGUGGCGAAGGCGGAUCUCUGGGCCGUAACUGACGCUGAGGAGCGAAAGCAUGGGGAGCGAACAGG